CGGUAAUGCUGAUGGUGAUGUUGAUGGUGAUGCGGAUGGGGAUGGUGCAAGGGAUGAUGAUGCGGAUGGUAGUGCUGACGAACCGGAUGGUCAUGGUUCUCCGACGUGCUGCUAUCGUCGUCGUCGUCAUCACCAUCAUCAUCAUCUUCGGUA
Molecule: microRNA precursor, 153 nt
Filed under: Anopheles darlingi
Lineage: Eukaryota; Metazoa; Arthropoda; Insecta; Diptera; Culicidae
Description: microRNA mir-598
Source: RNAcentral